GACAGAGGGUGCAAACGUUGUUCGGAAUUACUGGGCGUAAAGCGCGUGUAAGCGGCUAAGUAAGUCGGGCGUGAAAUCCCACGGCUCAACCGUGGAAGUGCACUCGAAACUGCAUAGCUAGAGUCCUGGAGAGGAAGGUGGAAUGCUUGGUGUAGAGGUGAAAUUCGUAGAUAUCAAGCGGAACACCGGUGGCGAAGGCGGCCUUCUGGACAGUGACUGACGCUGAGACGCGAAAGCGUGGGGAGCAAACAGG
This 253-nucleotide ribosomal RNA is filed under the name uncultured bacterium. RNAcentral's name for it is "partial 16S ribosomal RNA". It matches the Rfam family "Bacterial small subunit ribosomal RNA", at positions 524 to 776 of the family's 1533-position model. The record is from RNAcentral.